GACGAACGCUGGCGGCGUGCCUAAUACAUGCAAGUAGAACGCACAGUUUAUACCGUAGCUUGCUACACCAUAGACUGUGAGUUGCGAACGGGUGAGUAACGCGUAGGUAACCUGCCUGGUAGCGGGGGAUAACUAUUGGAAACGAUAGCUAAUACCGCAUAAUAUUAAUUAUUGCAUGAUAAUUAAUUGAAAGGUGCAAUUGCACCACUACCAGAUGGACCUGCGUUGUAUUAGCUAGUAGGUGAGGUAACGGCUCACCUAGGCGACGAUACAUAGCCGACCGGAGAGGGUGAUCGGCCACACUGGGACUGAGACACGGCCCAGACUCCUACGGGAGGCAGCAGUAGGGAAUCUUCGGCAAUGGACGAAAGUCUGACCGAGCAACGCCGCGUGAGUGAAGAAGGUUGUCGGAUCGUAAAGCUCUGUUGUAAGAGAAGAACGGGUGUGAGAGUGGAAAGUUCACACUGUGACGGUAUCUUACCAGAAAGGGACGGCUAACUACGUG
Molecule: ribosomal RNA, 505 nt
Filed under: uncultured bacterium
Lineage: Bacteria
Description: partial 16S ribosomal RNA
Rfam family: Bacterial small subunit ribosomal RNA
Source: RNAcentral